UAGGGAAUCUUCCGCAAUGGACGCAAGUCUGACGGAGCAACGCCGCGUGAGUGAAGAAGGAUUUCGGUUCGUAAAACUCUGUUGUUAGAGAAGAACAGCGCAUAGAGUAACUGUUAUGCGUGUGACGGUAUCUAACCAGAAAGCCACGGCUAACUACGUGCCAGCAGCCGCGGUAAUACGUAGGUGGCAAGCGUUGUCCGGAUUUAUUGGGCGUAAAGCGAGCGCAGGCGGUCAAUUAAGUCUGAUGUGAAAGCCCCCGGCUCAACCGGGGAGGGUCAUUGGAAACUGGUUGACUUGAGGGCAGAAGAGGAGAGUGGAAUUCCAUGUGUAGCGGUGAAAUGCGUAGAUAUAUGGAGGAACACCAGUGGAGAAGGCGACUCUCUGGUCUGUAACUGACGCGGAGGUUCGAAAGCGUGGGUAGCAAACAGG
Molecule: ribosomal RNA, 429 nt
Filed under: Bacteroidota bacterium
Lineage: Bacteria; Pseudomonadati; Bacteroidota
Description: Bacteroidetes bacterium partial 16S ribosomal RNA
Rfam family: Bacterial small subunit ribosomal RNA
Source: RNAcentral